This 516-nucleotide ribosomal RNA is filed under the name Pseudomonas sp. Na-MWM61. RNAcentral describes it as "bacterial SSU rRNA". It matches the Rfam family "Bacterial small subunit ribosomal RNA", at positions 37 to 542 of the family's 1533-position model. The record is from RNAcentral. Lineage: Bacteria; Pseudomonadati; Pseudomonadota; Gammaproteobacteria; Pseudomonadales; Pseudomonadaceae.
UGGCGGUAGCCUACACAUGCAAGUCGAACGGCAGCACAGUAAGAGCUUGCUCUUAUGGGUGGCGAGUGGCGGACGGGUGAGGAAUACAUCGGAAUCUACUUUUUCGUGGGGGAUAACGUAGGGAAACUUACGCUAAUACCGCAUACGACCUACGGGUGAAAGCAGGGGAUCUUCGGACCUUGCGCGAUUGAAUGAGCCGAUGUCGGAUUAGCUAGUUGGCGGGGUAAAGGCCCACCAAGGCGACGAUCCGUAGCUGGUCUGAGAGGAUGAUCAGCCACACUGGAACUGAGACACGGUCCAGACUCCUACGGGAGGCAGCAGUGGGGAAUAUUGGACAAUGGGCGCAAGCCUGAUCCAGCCAUACCGCGUGGGUGAAGAAGGCCUUCGGGUUGUAAAGCCCUUUUGUUGGGAAAGAAAUCCAGCCGGCUAAUACCUGGUUGGGAUGACGGUACCCAAAGAAUAAGCACCGGCUAACUUCGUGCCAGCAGCCGCGGUAAUACGAAGGGUGCAAGCGUU